RNAcentral lists this ribosomal RNA (532 nucleotides) under uncultured Lysobacter sp. RNAcentral describes it as "bacterial SSU rRNA". It matches the Rfam family "Bacterial small subunit ribosomal RNA", at positions 381 to 906 of the family's 1533-position model. Lineage: Bacteria; Pseudomonadati; Pseudomonadota; Gammaproteobacteria; Lysobacterales; Lysobacteraceae. The record is from RNAcentral.
GCCUGAUCAGCCUGCCGCGUGUGUGAAGAAGGCCUUCGGGUUGUAAAGCCCUUUUGUCGGGAAAGAAAAGCUUUCGGUUAAUACCCGGGGGUCCUGACGGUACCGGAAGAAUAAGCACCGGCUAACUUCGUGCCAGCAGCCGCGGUAAUACGAAGGGUGCAAGCGUUACUCGGAAUUACUGGGCGUAAAGCGUGCGUAGGUGGUUUGUUAAGUCUGAUGUGAAAGCCCUGGGCUCAACCUGGGAAUUGCAUUGGAUACUGGCCGGCUAGAGUGCGGUAGAGGAUGGUGGAAUUCCCGGUGUAGCAGUGAAAUGCGUAGAGAUCGGGAGGAACAUCUGUGGCGAAGGCGACUAUCUGGACCAACACUGACACUGAGGCACGAAAGCGUGGGGAGCAAACAGGAUUAGAUACCCUGGUAGUCCACGCCCUAAACGAUGCGAACUGGAUGUUGGGAGCAAUUUGGCUCUCAGUAUCGAAGCUAACGCGUUAAGUUCGCCGCCUGGGGAGUACGGUCGCAAGACUGAAACUCAAGG